Small nucleolar RNA from Lemur catta (Ring-tailed lemur), 104 nucleotides. RefSeq annotates it as small nucleolar RNA U13. The transcript has a single exon. Lineage: Eukaryota; Metazoa; Chordata; Mammalia; Primates; Lemuridae. The record is from RefSeq and is a predicted model, not a curated record.
AUGCUUUUGUAGUUCUUAAGCAUGAUGAUUGGGUUUUCAUGCUCAUGUGUGAGAUGUGCCUCCCUCAAACCUUGUUAGGAAGUUGGCAUGUUACCCAUCUGAUG